GGUUAUGGCUCAAUGGUAAAGCACUUCCCUAGGAUGGGUGAGGCCUUGUGUUCAAUCCUCACCACCA
This 67-nucleotide transfer RNA is filed under the name Marmota monax (woodchuck). Its description in RNAcentral is "tRNA.Pro". The record is from RNAcentral. Lineage: Eukaryota; Metazoa; Chordata; Mammalia; Rodentia; Sciuridae.